UACGAAGGGGGCGAGCGUUGUUCGGAAUUACUGGGCGUAAAGGGUGCGUAGGCGGCCGAUCAAGUCAGAUGUGAAAGUCCUGGGCUUAACCUGGGGACUGCAUUUGAAACUGGGAGACUUGAGUGUGGCAGAGGGGGGUGGAAUUCCACGUGUAGCAGUGAAAUGCGUAGAUAUGUGGAGGAACACCGAUGGCGAAGGCAGCCCCCUGGGUUAACACUGACGCUCAUGCACGAAAGCGUGGGGAGCAAACAGG
This 253-nucleotide ribosomal RNA is filed under the name uncultured bacterium. RNAcentral describes it as "partial 16S ribosomal RNA". It matches the Rfam family "Bacterial small subunit ribosomal RNA", at positions 524 to 776 of the family's 1533-position model. The record is from RNAcentral.